CCCCUCAGCAGGAAGCUACAGAACUGCAGUGAGGUCUCCCCUCACUCUCCUCCAUCUCAAUAGACCAAGUGCCCUCAGCUGCUCCUCACGCAGCCCCUCCAGGCCCUUCUCCAUCCCCAUGGCCCUCCUUUGCACAUCUCUGACAGUUUCAUGUCAUUUUUAUUCUGUCAGGCCCAGAACUGCACUCACCAUUCCAGGUGAGGCCGCCCCAGCCCAGAGCAGAGCAGGACAAUCCCUCCCUGGCCGGGCCGGCCCUGCUGGGCCCGGUGCCCCAGGACAGGGAUGUCCCUCCUUGCUCCAGGACAUCGCUGGCUCAGACCCAACCUUCUGUCAACCAGGUCCUUUUCCAUAUCACUGUUGUCCAGUGUGUCAUUCCCAGUCUGUCCAUAUAUCCAGGGCUGCCCCAUCUGAGGUACAGCACACAAUAUUUUUCUUUAUCACUGAUUUCCACCCAAUAAUGAAUAUGUCUUUUGCUCAGAGUUUACCGAGGUUCUUCAGAGAUUGUUCAUGACUGACAAAAUGCUGAAUGGCCCUUCAACCAUGUCUGCAUGAACUAUGUCUGGACCUGAGCAUAUCCAAGCAGCCCAAGGGCUGCAACUUGGAGAAAAUAAUGAAAAGAGAACCUGUUGGACACCAGAAAAAGUCCCAACAAAAGGAAUUGAAGAGUGGCCUCUGUCCAAAUUCAAACCUCAUGCACUAAGGAAUUUCUCCAAGCCAGAUGUGAAUAUCCCUGGAAUCCAAACCAUCACCAGCUUGUUGCAGUGCUCUCAAGGAGAGCAGGAGAAGGAAAUGCACAAAGCCAAAGCAGCAUCAAAGUGGCUGGUGCAGAUGAGUGCUGAGCCAUCCCAUUUCUACUCCAGCAGUUUCAGGGAGCUGGGAAAUAUCUCCCUGCACACCUCAGCCUGGAGACACCUGCCCAAAGGAGUACACAGCAGAGUGAAAGGACAAAAUUGAGCUUAAAAGAGGUAAUAUUAAUUUGCUAUCACACUACAUGAGCUAGCUGAGAGACGAG
This 1012-nucleotide long non-coding RNA is filed under the name Cyanistes caeruleus (blue tit). Its description in RNAcentral is "lncRNA (ENSCCEG00000010194.1)". The record is from RNAcentral. Lineage: Eukaryota; Metazoa; Chordata; Aves; Passeriformes; Paridae.